UUUCUCCCAAAUUUCUAGCCGAUCUUCAGCUUUUACCCUACCCCUUCCCUGCCGCUGCCGGAUUUCUGGCAGCUUUCAAAUCAUAUUUGAACGCAUGGCCGCGAAACGGAUUGUAAUUAUGAGCAUUAACAAAAGAAAGAGACGAGCGGAGUGGUGUGGAGAUGGGAGGAAAGCAGUAAUGAAUAACGAGCAGCAAAAGAAAGAGCGAAAGAGAAGCAGCUGCCUGCUAUGGUUCAACGAAAGAACUAGUUCGCUGAUGGGACGAGAUAGACAAGGAUAUAAGACAUUGUUGCUCUAUAUAUAAUUUCCGCGAAAAUGUUCGACUACGUUACAGUUCGAGUUACGGUAAGUUCACCGUUUAAUUGAACAUAUAUAUAGCGGUUAACAAUCUUAAUGUUUAACAGUAAGUGGCUAGUGGCAACAGAACUGGUAGUAGAAACUGUUGUUGCCAAACCGAUUUCUGGGAAAAUGUUCGUUUACAGGUGGAGUUAUGGUGAAAACUCAGUGGUUCCACAAUACGUACAUCUAUUAUUUAUGAGCGCCAAAAACCAGUAAAUUCCAUUGCCCUA
Molecule: long non-coding RNA, 569 nt
Organism: Drosophila pseudoobscura
Lineage: Eukaryota; Metazoa; Arthropoda; Insecta; Diptera; Drosophilidae
Exons: 2
Source: RefSeq, a predicted model, not a curated record